GUAAUAUCCGGUUUUAUUAUAAUUUUGGUUGUACAAAUUCCACCAACCGUGAACAGUAAUAUGUCCGGAAUUUUAUGAGUUUAUUUUAAGCAUCAAAGCUAUCGUGUACUUAAAGAAAACUCGCAUUUGCUAGUUUAUUAAGAUGGAAUAAAUCAGCAUGGAUGUUUAUGACGCAAUGAAAAACAGCAAACAAGAAAGAAUAUGUCAAGGGGGAAAGGGGGUAUCGAAAUAGACAUACAAAACCACAACAAAAAGAAAAAAAAAGAAAAAUGGUAAGUUGCAGUGAAUGAUAUUUUUACGACUUUAAAAAAAAAUCAUAAUUGUUAGUAUUAUAGAUGGUGGAGGAUCUACAACUUACUGUAGCAACAAUUUUACUGCCAACCAAGGACUGUGAACAUUAGCAAUAUGCCAAAUACGCUGUGCGACAUUUUGACUCGGAUGAAUUACCAUACUUCACAGACCUAAAGAUAAAUAAACUCAUCAUAGAUACCAGGACUAAAAUUAAUAUAAAUGCCAGACGCGCGUUUCGUCUACAAAAGACUCAUCAGUGACGCUCGAAUCCAAAAAAGUUAAAAAGUCCAAAUAAAGUACGAAGUUGAAGAGCAUUGAGGAC
Molecule: long non-coding RNA, 613 nt
Filed under: Mytilus galloprovincialis (Mediterranean mussel)
Lineage: Eukaryota; Metazoa; Mollusca; Bivalvia; Mytilida; Mytilidae
Source: RNAcentral